This 730-nucleotide long non-coding RNA is filed under the name Gossypium barbadense (sea-island cotton). RNAcentral's name for it is "long non-coding RNA (GBAR_LNC008610)". Lineage: Eukaryota; Viridiplantae; Streptophyta; Magnoliopsida; Malvales; Malvaceae. The record is from RNAcentral.
AGGUCAGAUCUUUGUUUAUUCGUUUUACCGUUAAAAUUCACUCUUGAAACCUUUAUUAGAGGUCAGUUUUUCAGGCUUUUAAAGACAAAAUAUGAUGCUAUGAAGUUGUUGUCAGACUUGCAUUUAUGUUUUUGUGCUGGUGAUCUUAAUCUUAAUGUUACUGUAUGAUCCUAUAGAUGUCCAAACUCGCUUUCUGCUGAGGUUUUUGAGGUUAGAAUCCAGGUGAAGUAGUAUUGAACAUAAAUGGCAGAAGUAUGAGUUCUAAAUUGAUCAUAAACUUCAAAUGUUUCAAACACCAAUUAAGUCCUUGCGUCAAUCUAACUGUUACACUGGCAGAAGUAUGAGUUCUAAAUUGAUCAUAAACUUCAAAUGUUUCAAACACCAAUUAAGUCCUUGCGUCAAUCUAACUGUUACACGAUUCCAUUUUUCAACACAUUAAAGUUCAAUGUUCAAAUUGACGAAAGGACCUAAUUGGAACAAUAAUUAAGUUUGAGGUUUUAAUUGAAACGUUUUGAAGUUUAGAAUUUGCCCCAUAGUUUGGAUUGUCUAGUGCAAUUAUCAGUUCUUACUAAAUUUUUUUGUUGCCUUCUCUAAGAGGAAAUGAACACAUCAGAGGGUAGGCAUGACUUGACUUGAUUUGCAUAUGAUUGGGAAAUUUAUUUACUAGUAACUUGAAACAAAUGCUGCUUAAUAUGUUCUAAAAGUGUUCUGAUAUGAAGGGCACAGUCCA